CAACAGCGAGGCAUCAAGUGCUGUUCAAAACAGAUUGAGCGACCUUUUCCUGUCUCAUCAGAUGCCUUUAAACUGUAUCAUAACGAUCAGGUUUGAAGGCAGUUGUUACGGUUGGGUGGUGGUUGGACUCAGGUGCAGACACAGACUCGAUGAAGGUUCGACCAAGGGUUUAUUCUUGAGAUAACAAAAAAUCGACUAAGCAAGUCGAGAGAGGGCUAGAAAGUCUAGGCUGAGAAGUGAGCUUGGGGAUCCGAGUGUUGGAGAAACAAGUGAAAAAAAAGUGAAAAAAGACACAACUGUUAGUAAACAAGUUCAAGGCGAAGAAGCACAAGAUGAACAAGAAGCGUCUACUUUGGCCUACAACUGUCACCACGGAUCGCGAAAACCAACCUGGGACCAGCCCUCCAGAAGGCAAAAGCUUAAGAGCUGAGCAGUGAUGAGCUGAUCAGCUGCAGGUGUAGAGAGCCAGGUGCUGAGCCAGCCCCCGUGCUGCCACGCCCCCUGUGCAGAAACACAACCACAAAACAGAGAGAGGACACACACCCCAAGCACCAAGUCUUGACAGCAGCAUCGAUACUGACUCGAUGCUGCCUAUUACUCAUAAAUCUGUGCCUAUGGUAGCUUACGAAAAAUUGAGAAGAUGGCAGACAAACAAGCCUAAUUUGUCUACAAAUCUUUUGGGGCCCAUAGGGAUCUGGGGCCCCUGGCCAGUGGCCUGCUUUUCCUGGCUGGUAAUCCAGCUGUGGCUGUCUGUAGUGGACAGAGACACCAAAAUGAGGUCAUCACAAGUCAUGUAAGUACUUAUUAUCUACAGAUAGUAAUCAACCACAGAUCACAUAUGUACUGUCACCCCACCAUUUAGUGGGUGUACCGUGUAACAACACCCCCUCCCCCUCUUUCAUCCCCACAUUUAUGAUCUUUCUCCUCUGUGUAAUUAAAAAAAAUGCCUGUC
Molecule: long non-coding RNA, 952 nt
Organism: Micropterus dolomieu (smallmouth bass)
Lineage: Eukaryota; Metazoa; Chordata; Actinopteri; Centrarchiformes; Centrarchidae
Exons: 2
Source: RefSeq, a predicted model, not a curated record